Molecule: ribosomal RNA, 402 nt
Filed under: uncultured bacterium
Lineage: Bacteria
Also listed under: 1 other name
Description: bacterial SSU rRNA
Rfam family: Bacterial small subunit ribosomal RNA
Source: RNAcentral
UGGGGAAUUUUGCGCAAUGGGGGAAACCCUGACGCAGCAACGCCGCGUGGAGGAUGAAGUCUCUUGGGACGUAAACUCCUUUCGAUAGGGAAGAUUAUGACGGUACCUAUAGAAGAAGCCCCGGCUAACUUCGUGCCAGCAGCCGCGGUAAUACGAGGGGGGCAAGCGUUGUUCGGAAUUAUUGGGCGUAAAGGGCGCGUAGGCGGUUUGGCAAGUUUGGUGUGAAAUCUUCGGGCUCAACUCGAAGUCUGCAUCGAAAACUGCCGGGCUUGAGUAUGGGAGAGGUGAGUGGAAUUUCCGGUGUAGCGGUGAAAUGCGUAGAUAUCGGAAGGAACACCUGUGGCGAAAGCGGCUCACUGGACCAUAACUGACGCUGAGGCGCGAAAGCUAGGGGAGCAAACA